This 1089-nucleotide ribosomal RNA is filed under the name Escherichia coli. RNAcentral describes it as "partial 23S ribosomal RNA". It matches the Rfam family "Bacterial large subunit ribosomal RNA", at positions 552 to 1643 of the family's 2925-position model. The record is from RNAcentral. Lineage: Bacteria; Pseudomonadati; Pseudomonadota; Gammaproteobacteria; Enterobacterales; Enterobacteriaceae.
GAAACCGUGUACGUACAAGCAGUGGGAGCACGCUUCGGCGUGUGACUGCGUACCUUUUGUAUAAUGGGUCAGCGACUUAUAUUCUGUAGCAAGGUUAACCGAAUAGGGGAGCCGAAGGGAAACCGAGUCUUAACUGGGCGUUAAGUUGCAGGGUAUAGACCCGAAACCCGGUGAUCUAGCCAUGGGCAGGUUGAAGGUUGGGUAACACUAACUGGAGGACCGAACCGACUAAUGUUGAAAAAUUAGCGGAUGACUUGUGGCUGGGGGUGAAAGGCCAAUCAAACCGGGAGAUAGCUGGUUCUCCCCGAAAGCUAUUUAGGUAGCGCCUCGUGAAUUCAUCUCCGGGGGUAGAGCACUGUUUCGGCAAGGGGGUCAUCCCGACUUACCAACCCGAUGCAAACUGCGAAUACCGGAGAAUGUUAUCACGGGAGACACACGGCGGGUGCUAACGUCCGUCGUGAAGAGGGAAACAACCCAGACCGCCAGCUAAGGUCCCAAAGUCAUGGUUAAGUGGGAAACGAUGUGGGAAGGCCCAGACAGCCAGGAUGUUGGCUUAGAAGCAGCCAUCAUUUAAAGAAAGCGUAAUAGCUCACUGGUCGAGUCGGCCUGCGCGGAAGAUGUAACGGGGCUAAACCAUGCACCGAAGCUGCGGCAGCGACGCUUAUGCGUUGUUGGGUAGGGGAGCGUUCUGUAAGCCUGUGAAGGUGUGCUGUGAGGCAUGCUGGAGGUAUCAGAAGUGCGAAUGCUGACAUAAGUAACGAUAAAGCGGGUGAAAAGCCCGCUCGCCGGAAGACCAAGGGUUCCUGUCCAACGUUAAUCGGGGCAGGGUGAGUCGACCCCUAAGGCGAGGCCGAAAGGCGUAGUCGAUGGGAAACAGGUUAAUAUUCCUGUACUUGGUGUUACUGCGAAGGGGGGACGGAGAAGGCUAUGUUGGCCGGGCGACGGUUGUCCCGGUUUAAGCGUGUAGGCUGGUUUUCCAGGCAAAUCCGGAAAAUCAAGGCUGAGGCGUGAUGACGAGGCACUACGGUGCUGAAGCAACAAAUGCCCUGCUUCCAGGAAAAGCCUCUAAGCAUCAGGUAACAUCAAAUC